Molecule: transfer RNA, 73 nt
Filed under: Bos taurus (domestic cattle)
Lineage: Eukaryota; Metazoa; Chordata; Mammalia; Artiodactyla; Bovidae
Also listed under: 5 other names
Rfam family: tRNA
About the family: Transfer RNA (tRNA) molecules are approximately 80 nucleotides in length. Their secondary structure includes four short double-helical elements and three loops (D, anti-codon, and T loops).
Source: Rfam by way of RNAcentral
UCCCUGGCAGUUCAGUGGUAAGAACUCUGUUAUUACAAUUCAGGGGGCGUAGGUUUGAUCCCUGGUCGGGGAA